This is a long non-coding RNA of Oncorhynchus nerka (sockeye salmon), 3688 nucleotides long. RefSeq lists it as uncharacterized. The record is from RefSeq and is a predicted model, not a curated record. The transcript has 2 exons. NCBI's taxonomy places the organism in Eukaryota, Metazoa, Chordata, Actinopteri, Salmoniformes, Salmonidae.
CGUACCUCAAAGUAUUGUAACGACCUGAACGUUUUGGGGAAACGUGUAAAAGUCGUAAAGCAAAGUAAGCAAACGUUCGAUUGAACUGAACGCACCCUUGGCUACGUUCGCCGCGGGAAAUCUGUUAACGCAAGCUAACUAGCAACACACAUUAUUCAUAGAAUGUUAUAUUAUUGAAAUGAAAGAGCAGGGAGCAGGUUACACUACUCCCUCCUUUCAAAGAGCGCGUCCUCGCGCUAGCUUGCGACUCUACGUCUUACUACAGGAACGCGCUCACCGGUCAAGCACACGCACUGUCCGAUCACUUCUGAGACCAGUGUAAUGAAACAGCAGGGAGCAGGUCUCGAACCCUCGACCUUCGAGCCCGAGGUCCGGCGCGCUAUCGACUGUGCCGCAAAAGCAUGCUCGUGCGGCAAGCUCGUUACAUUAUCAUAGCUAGCUAGUGCAAUUGAAAUUUGCAAUCAUCUUUCGACAACAUUAUGUCAGGAAACGGACUGUCGACCAGAAUUCAGCAGUUUUUGGAUCCCCACGAGCGGCUAAUGGCAGGUACUCAGAGCCCUUUCCACCGCCUGGGCCAGCAGAUGCAGGACCUCUUGGGCGAUGGCGGGAUCAAGAAGGUCCAACCUGGAGAAGGCCCACCAGUGCCAAGAGAUGUUAUAAUGGUUUUAGAAUGACAGACACAGGGACCACAGUUUGAAAGCCUGUCUCAGUGGAGUUUUAGGCACAGUUAAUUGCCUAAAACUUUGCUAGCUGAAAUACACUCAGUGGCUGUUCAUUAGGUACACCACCCCGUUCACAAAAAUGGUUCGCCCCUACAGACUGUGUCACGUGGCCACGUGGCCGUGGCUUGCUAUAUAAAGCAGGCAGACAGGCAUCGAGGCAUUCUGUUACUCUUCGAUUGAACAUUAGAAUUGGAAGAAUUAGUGACCUAUGCAACUUUGAGUGUGGUGGGCAAAAACAGCUCAUUGAUGAGAGGUCGAAGGAGAAUGGCAAGAAUCGUGCAAGCUAAUAGGCGGGCCACAAACAGGCAAAUAACGGCGCAGUACAAGAAUGGUGUGAAGAACGGCAUUUUGGAACGCACAACUCGCCAGUCCUUGUCACGGAUGGGCUAUUGCAGCACCACACCGGGUUCUACUCCUCAUCUAAAAACAAGAAGCAGCUUCAGUUGGCAUGCGAUCACCAACAUUGGACAAUUUUGGAGUGGAAAAAAUGUACCUGGUCCGACGAAUCCCGGUUCCUGUUGCGUCCCGGUUCCAGCAUUACAGGCUUAUGUCAUGCUGAUGGCAGAGUCAGGAUUUGGCAUAAGCAGCAUGAGUCCAUGGCCCCGUCCUGCCUGGUUCAGCGAUACAGGCUGGUGGCGGUGGUGUAAUGGUGUGGGGAAUGUUUUCCUGGCACACGUUAGGUUUCCAUGCCCCAAAUAAUUUCAGACUGUUCUGGAGGCAAAGGGGGGUACAACUUAGUACUAGUUUGUUGUACCUAAUAAACUGGCCACCGAGUGUAUAUACUUAAGUAAUCAGACCUAUUCUUACUAUGAUGAACCAUUUCACUUUCUAUUCAGCUUGAAUUCUACAUUUUAACAAAUAUUUUUAGACAGGCAAGCACACAGAUUUUCUUCGGGAAAUGUACCUUUUCUAGUUUAGUCAUAUUUAUCUUACCUUAGAAGUUACUUUGCAGGCUGACUAGCAUCUAUUGAGUUUCAAUGUCCCAUAAAUGAAAUGUCCAAAUCAAUUUGAAGUAUCUACAAAACAAGUUUUGCAGCCACAUAAUCCCAAAGGAAGUCUAUGAAAAUUACUGUUUGUGUUUCACAAAAUAUUAUUUUGAUUCACAUGAUUUGAUUCACCAUGAUUUAAUCAAAUCCCAAAUACACUCAACGCAACAAGCAACAAUUUCAAAUAUUUUACUGAGUUACAGUUCAUAUAUGGAAGUCCGUCAAUUGAAAUAAAUUCAUUAGGCCCUAAUCUAUGGAUUUCACAUGACUGGGAAUACAGAUAUGCGUCUGUUGGUCACAGAUACCUUAAAAGGGUAGGGGCUUGGAUCAGAAAACCAGUCAGUAUCUGGUGUCAGCACGAUAUGCCUCAUGCAGCCCAACACAUUUCCUUCACAUAGAGGUGAUCAGGCUGUUGAUUGUGGCCUGUGGAAUGUUGUCCCACUCGUCUUCAAAUGGCCGUGUGAAGUUGAUGGAUAUUGGCUGGAACUGGAACGCGCUGUCGUACACGUUGAUCCAGAGCAUCCCAAACAUGCUCAAUGGGUGACAUGUCUGAGUAUGCAGGCCAUGGAAGAGCUGGGACAUUUUCAAUUUCCAGGAAUUGUGUACAGAACUUUGCGUGCAUUAUCAUGCUGAAACAUGAGGUGAUGGCAACAGAUGAGUGGCAUGACAAUGGGCCUCAGGAUCUCGUCAUGGUAUCUCUGUGUAUUCGAAUUGCCAUCGAUAAAAUGCAAUUGGUUUCGUUGUCCAUAGCUUAUGUCUGCCCAUACCAUAACCCCACCGCCACCAUGGGGCACUCUGUUCACAACGUUAACAUCAGCAAACCGCUUGCCCACAUGACGCCAUACACACUACACUGUCUGCCAUCUGUCUGGUACAGUUGAAACUGGGAUUAAUCUGUGAAGAGCACACUUCUCCAGCGUGCCAGUGGCUGUCAAAGGUGAACAUUUGCCCACAGAAGUCCAUUGCGCAUAAAGGCAUUUCCACCACCAUUUGAAAAAUUCUCACAUAAUUAAUUUGACCAACACGGGGAGCCCACCUUGUCUAGUGUAUUUUGUUUUGUCGACAUUUGGAACGUUUACGGACACAUUUUCUGUUUCCAUCAGGCCUGUUGUGACUUUUUUUUACCCGACAUGUACUUUACUCACAUAAAAAGGCCGGAUGGUAACCUUGUAUUUCUGUGCUAGCCACAGGAGGGCGCCGUAUGAACAGAUUCAAAGCAUUGAUUGAUGUUUGCCACAUACAUUGCUAACUAUCUGUAUCCAGUUCAGAUAGUUGCCCCUUUUCACUUUGUUUUAAUAAGAUAGGCAGUGCCAUCAGUGCCCAUCUAAGACAAUGCAAUCAUCUAGCAUAUUUGUAUAGUCAUGUUUUCAUGUGGAAUUGGAAGAUGCAAUAUUAUAUCCACAGGCAGCUCACAGAGAUAUUGCAGUCAUCUGUUCCCAAAUGGAUGACCAACCAAAACUUGAGUGUGAUUUGUCAGAACCUGUUUUUUUCCAGAGGUACAUAAAUAUUUGCCUAUGCAAGGAUCCAAACUCCAGACUCUCAUCUUCAAAUGGCAGCGCUCUCUCAAGAUCAAAGGCUUCUGAGUGUAAUUUGGGAAUCAUGUUGCCUACAUGCUCUGGGCGUUCUACAGAGCUUUAGGACACUCCAGUUUUGCUGAGGUGUCCUCCCUGUAUCACAAGGUGGGAUCUGCCCUAUUUGCCUGCCAGGAGAGAGUGAGAGAGAGAGGAGCAAUGUCUGAAGCUACAUUUUGGACUCACAUUCUGUUGCAGGUGAUGGUGUAAGGAGAACUUAAAGUCAACACCGAAGACUCACACAAGCCUUACUACAUUAUGUAAAUAUGUUCACUUUGAUUUCAAGAGUUUUUGUUCAUUAUGUACCAACAUUUACAAAGCUAUUCUGUACACUAAAUCCAACUGCAGUUGGGACACAGUGAAAUGUCUUAAUAAUAAAAAAUGUGUUUGUGUUCAUCUUGUUAAAAUA